RNAcentral lists this ribosomal RNA (625 nucleotides) under Coppinsiella ulcerosa. RNAcentral's name for it is "eukaryotic LSU rRNA". The stretch from base 261 to 414 matches the Rfam family "5.8S ribosomal RNA". The record is from RNAcentral. Lineage: Eukaryota; Fungi; Ascomycota; Lecanoromycetes; Teloschistales; Teloschistaceae.
AGAGGAAGUAAAAGUCGUAACAAGGUUUCCGUAGGUGAACCUGCGGAAGGAUCAUUACCGAGAGGGGUCAGGCUUCGCGGCCGCGCUCUCGGGGGGAAACCCCCGUAACUCUUCAACCCAGUGUGUAUCUACCUCCGUUGCUUUGGCGAGCGUUGGGGCGCUUUGCGCCUCGGCCCCGGCCCCGGCCGGUGAGCUCUCGCCAGAGGCCCAGCCUCAAGUCUGUUUAGAGUACCGUCCGAGCAUACGAUUAAAUGAAUCAAAACUUUCAACAACGGAUCUCUUGGUUCUGGCCUCGAUGAAGAACGCAGCGAAAUGCGAUAAGUAAUGUGAAUUGCAGAAUUCAGUGAAUCAUCGAAUCUUUGAACGCACAUUGCGCCCCUUGGUAUUCCGGGGGGCAUGCCUGUUCGAGCGUCAUUGCAACCCUCAAGCUUUGCUUGGUAUUGGGCCUUCGUCUCCCUCCUCGAGGGCGGCGUGCCCGUAAACUAGUGGCGGUCCAGGGAGACCUCAAGCGCAGUAAAUCUCAACGCUUGCGAGGUGUCGCCUGCGGCCCGGCCGUGAAAACCCCCCAAUUUUUCAGUAAUUGACCUCGGAUCAGGUAGGGAUACCCGCUGAACUUAAGCAUAUC